This 253-nucleotide ribosomal RNA is filed under the name uncultured bacterium. Its description in RNAcentral is "partial 16S ribosomal RNA". It matches the Rfam family "Bacterial small subunit ribosomal RNA", at positions 524 to 776 of the family's 1533-position model. The record is from RNAcentral.
GACGAACCGUGCGAACGUUGUUCGGAAUCACUGGGCUUAAAGGGCGCGUAGGCGGGCUGCCAAGUCUGGGGUGAAAUCCUUCGGCUCAACCGGAGAACGGCCUCGGAUACUGGCGGUCUCGAGGGAGGUAGGGGCGUGCGGAACUAAGGGUGGAGCGGUGAAAUGCGUUGAUAUCCUUAGGAACUCCGGUGGCGAAGGCGGCACGCUGGACCUCUUCUGACGCUGAGGCGCGAAAGCCAGGGGAGCAAACGGG